RNAcentral lists this transfer RNA (76 nucleotides) under Candidatus Ruminococcus equi. Its description in RNAcentral is "tRNA-Thr". It matches the Rfam family "tRNA". From Rfam's summary of the family: Transfer RNA (tRNA) molecules are approximately 80 nucleotides in length. Their secondary structure includes four short double-helical elements and three loops (D, anti-codon, and T loops). Further hydrogen bonds mediate the characteristic L-shaped molecular structure. tRNAs have two regions of fundamental functional importance: the anti-codon, which is responsible for specific mRNA codon recognition, and the 3' end, to which the tRNAs corresponding amino acid is attached (by aminoacyl-tRNA synthetases). tRNAs cope with the degeneracy of the genetic code in two manners: having more than one tRNA (with a specific anti-codon) for a particular amino acid; and 'wobble' base-pairing, i.e. permitting non-standard base-pairing at the 3rd anti-codon position. The record is from RNAcentral. Lineage: Bacteria; Bacillati; Bacillota; Clostridia; Eubacteriales; Oscillospiraceae.
GCUGGUAUAGCUCAGGAGGCAGAGCGCAUCCUUGGUAAGGAUGAGGUCGGCAGUUCGAGCCUGCCUAUCAGCUCCA